Harmonia axyridis is the source of this 1257-nucleotide RNA transcript. It is a transcript of the gene named dnaJ homolog subfamily B member 14-like, with no coding region annotated. The transcript has 6 exons. The record is from RefSeq and is a predicted model, not a curated record. Lineage: Eukaryota; Metazoa; Arthropoda; Insecta; Coleoptera; Coccinellidae.
CUGUCAAUUUUGACUUAGUUUGUCGCUAUCUGAAUGAAAUUUUACUUUCAAACCCGGGGAAUCCUUGUUUGGAUAGUUUAUAAAAAUAUUAUGUUGCGUAAAUUGUGAAAUGGAAAGUAACAAAGAUGAAGCUACACAUUGUUUAGAUAUUGCAGAAAAAUGUAUUCAACAAAAAAAUUUCGGAAGAGGCAUAAAAUUCCUGAAUAAAUCGUUGACAUUGUAUCCUUCUGAAAAAGCUCAAAGUCUACUCAAUUCAAUACAAGAUUUGCCAUAUCAGAAAGAUUGUCGUCCAUCUUUGGAACUAAGAAAAAAAAUAUCACCAAAAUGUAGGACCCGUUCGCAUACACCUGAUGAAUUAGAUGAAAUAAUCAUUCAGAUUCUGAAUUCGCAUAAUUAUUAUGAUAUAUUGAAAUUAGAUAAGGACGCCACUGAUAAAGAAAUCAAAAAGUCUUACAAACAACUUGCGCUAAUACUCCAUCCUGAUAAAACGCAGCAACCAGGCGCAGCUGAAGCUUUCAAGUCAAUAAGAAAUGCUGCUUCAAUUCUUACCGAUGGAGCAAAAAGAAGGGUGUACGACAUUUACGGACCAGAAGAAGUCAACAACUCCUCGGCCAGUUAUAGUUUUCGAUCUACCUUUUCAAAACAUGACAGCGAAACUUCUGUGAACUGUUCUGAACAUAAUAUAUUCGAAGAGGAUAAUGGAGGAUUGUAUGAUAAACCCAAAAAACGUGAGAAAUUAUCCCUGAGGUUGAUAUGGCCAAUCAUUUUUGCAAUUACCCUUACAAUUGUUACCACGUUUUUCAUGCACGAUCCAUUAUACAGCUUCCAAAAAUCUCCGAAAUACCCAGUGCUGAGGUAUACACAUAACUUGAAAAUACCCUAUUUUGUGAAAGAAAACUUUCUCAUGGAAAAUUCUGGUAUGACCAUCUCCCUGUUGGACAACGAAGUUGAAAUUGAAACAAUCACAAAUCUACAGCAUGCCUGCUACAAUGAGAGAAGUUACCGUAAAUGUUUUUCAUUACUUUGGUAUAAUCUACUGAGGUUGUUUGACUGAUUUUUUAUGGUUAUUGACGGAGGUGUUUCAAAAUGACGAUUUAUCUACUUGAUUUUGAAUUUCGGUAAUUAUUUACUUCAGUUGGCUAGGAAGAGGCAAAAUUCUGAGGAUCUAUCAGGUCUGCUACAAAUGAGAUCACCCUCGUGUGAAAAUCUACGGGAAAUUCAAAGAGUUUUCUACUUACUUGAACUAGAAUAAAUUAU